UACGUAGGUGGCAAGCGUUGUCCGGAAUUAUUGGGCGUAAAGCGCGCGUAGGCGGCUACUUAAGUCGGAUGUGAAAGCCCUUGGCUCAACUGAGGAAGUGCACCCGAAACUGAGUGGCUUGAGUACUAAAGAGGGUCGCGGAAUUCCCGGUGUAGAGGUGAAAUUCGUAGAUAUCGGGAGGAACACCGGUGGCGAAGGCGGCGACCUGGGUAGAUACUGACGCUGAGGCGCGAAAGCGUGGGGAGCAAACAGG
RNAcentral lists this ribosomal RNA (253 nucleotides) under uncultured bacterium. Its description in RNAcentral is "partial 16S ribosomal RNA". It matches the Rfam family "Bacterial small subunit ribosomal RNA", at positions 524 to 776 of the family's 1533-position model. The record is from RNAcentral.